This is a long non-coding RNA of Zalophus californianus (California sea lion), 949 nucleotides long. RefSeq lists it as uncharacterized. NCBI's taxonomy places the organism in Eukaryota, Metazoa, Chordata, Mammalia, Carnivora, Otariidae. The record is from RefSeq and is a predicted model, not a curated record. The transcript has 3 exons.
ACAAAGAAGGAAAAAGAAAUAGAUGUUAUGAAAAAAAAAUCCAAGGCAGAUCAAAGGGGAUGUGGUAGAGGAUUCAACGACUGCUACCCUUAAGCAAAGAACAGUAAUGAAGAAAUGAGUUUUGGCAGCCCAGCCAAUGGGAUAUUAAAGAAAUUAAUCCAGAAGGGAUGUAAUGACCUGAAAAAAAUGAUGAACAAAGACCAGAAGCAUCAGGAGAGAGAAAGGGAAGCAGACAGAAUGGACUUCAGUGCAACAGGGAAUUAAACUGAAAUCAUUAAAUUCUUUCUACUUAGCACUUUAGAGAACAUUUAUAUCCAGCCUGCCUAAGGAGAUGGCGCAGGGAGCACGCCCCAGGCUCCACCGCUGAGUCUAUUUCCCGGCACCCAACCGGAGACAGAGGGUUCAAGAAAACACAUGUUGCCAUUAGAAGCAGACCAUGAAGACUCCAGAGAAGAAAGAGAGAAGAAUGUGGGGAGCAGUAGGUGCCCAGCAGGCUGCAGGGGUCACUGACUGUAACUGAAAGCUGAAGGAAUUGAGGUGGGCCAAGGGGAGCGUGGCGGAGGUGCGGGGUGCAGAGGAUGGAAUGCAGGGUGGUGUGGCCUGAGUGUGGGAGGUCCCAUCAACAGAAAAGGCCCCCAGACAUUUACAAGUCUACAGAGGAAACACAUACCUUGAGAGAAAGGCUACAGAUCACCACCUGGCAUGGGCAUAUUGGGGUGACGACAUGCCGGCCCCAAGUGGGUUACCGCUAUUCCAACACCUUGUUCAACAAAAGUGUUCUUCGUUAUAAGUUUGUCCUCAACUCGACAGUAGAAAUCAAAGAGAAGAUGGAAUUUAUCUGAUUCAAGUCCUCUUUACAGGCUUUUUCCCCUGGGCCAAAGCAAUCCCAUAAAGACACUUAGUCUCCCUUCAGCUUUCUCUUCUUCAGACAAGAAAUAGAAGCUGUUUG